Long non-coding RNA from Lutra lutra (Eurasian river otter), 1036 nucleotides. RefSeq lists it as uncharacterized. The transcript has 3 exons. The record is from RefSeq and is a predicted model, not a curated record. NCBI's taxonomy places the organism in Eukaryota, Metazoa, Chordata, Mammalia, Carnivora, Mustelidae.
CUAGUGAGCGCCAUUUUGGAAUUGGGCAGAGAGUAGCACAGUUGUAGAAAUCCGGGCCAGCCAUUUUUAGUUAGGGGAUUGGCACCUUUUGUGGACGUGGGCAGCCAUUCUUGUUUGGGGCUGAAGCCUGACAAUUGAAGUUAGCCGUUCUCAUUUUUACCUUGGGCAAAAUUUCCCUUCCCGGUCGUUUUAAUUUCUGAAGUCGAGGAAGGAAACCCCCAGAAUCCAUCAGGUGGCUGAGGUUUAACCCCUUCGUUGCCUAAUUGGCUAAAGGACAUUUCUGUUUAUCGUAUAAACUCAAAGUUGGGAAGGGAUAUUUUGCACAAGAAAUUGUAUCUUGAAAGCCAUUCUGUAUCUCAAAGUGGUGGGAAUGGGGCUUGUAAAAGGAACUAAAGGGUAGCGUCCAUCAUCAGGAAGUUCGUUGUCUGGUAGAGGAGACAUUGUCCUUGCCCUUAGCGAACAGCAAGUAAGUUAGCCGUUCACGUCGCGGAAAGAGGUAAAACCAUUCUCCAGAAGCUGUAGCUCCAAAGACUCCCCAGUUUCACUCAACGCAUUUAAUUUCCCACUAUUACUGUUAUUUUGCACUUCCUGGUGUGUUCUGAGGUCAGUCGUGGAUGCUCUGGCUCCCAGACUAGGGUCAACUCGAGUGUCUCUUGCCAACAACUUAUCUGGAAGGACCAUGACUCUCUGGACUCAGAAGAUCCAAUUCUUCAGCUGUGCCAUCUCCAUUGGUUCUUCUUCCACUGUCCUGGUCCUCAAUUCCUGGUGUUAUGGCUUUAGAACAAAAUUUAAACACCGUGUCCUUGAGACUAUCCACCUUAGCCUUCUUUCCAACAGAAGAAUGCAUCUGCCUACUACUAUGCCAUAUUAUCUUUAGAACCACUCUGUGAGGUUAAUGGAGGUGAUUUUUGCAGAGAGAAAGGACUCCACCUGCCCAAAGCAUUUCAAGAUUCGUCAUUUAGGGCUUUGCCCUCUAACACACACUGUAUGGCUUAACCAAUAAAAAUUACCCAUCAUCUCCUAAGAAUGACUGAGA